UUCAGUAAAGAGUAGUUUACAUAUCAAGAAAUUAAUAAAGAGUAGUUUUGAUUAUGUGAAAUAAUUGUUAGAUUUAUAAAAAGGAAAAAAUAUAACUUUUAUAGCUUUUGACACUUUUUCAUACUUACUUAAAAUGUAAAUUUUUAUAAUUUUUUACGUGUUAGUUAAACUGUAUAAAUUUUAUGGUUUCAGAAUUCUCCAUAUUUUAUUUACACUCUAUAAAUUUUAUGGUUUCAAAAAUCCCACAUUUCUAGUUAAUAUUUGUAACUAUUAUAACUUCAAAAUUCCCGCGUUUUUAACCAAAAACAAAAAGAAGUAAAAUAAGACAAUGAUAUAUGGCAUAUAUAAUAUUUGUUCAUCUGAUCAUAUUUUUUUUGCAUAAACUUUUGAAAGCGUUCAGCUAUAGGCUUUUGAUUCUUAUUUUAUUUUACUAGAUAGAGUUUACAUGAUGAGAGGCUUUGAGACACCUUCAUUUACCUUUAAUCCCUUUAACUUGGAAACCACAAGCAAUUUGUAUUAGAAAAUUACAAAUUUUAUCAACUUUCGUAUGUACAGAGCCAUAAACAUUAUACACAUAAAAAGAUUGAUCUCUUCAGAAUUUAUUUAAUCAGACGUUCAAAAAAAGAAAGGGACAGUAAUAAUUUAGUUAAUAAAGUUAUGGAAAAAGAUGAAAUGGAUCUGACACCAUAUCCAUCAUCCUCUGGCAGAUUCAGUGAUACCUCAAACCCUAUAGACCGGUUUGAGAGUAUUAUGAGAGCAACACAAGGCGCAUUGAUUGUUGCUUCAACCCUACAGAUGAUUCUUGGUUUCAGUGGCCUCUGGCGCAAUGUUGUUAGGUUAAGUCUAAAAGGAAGGAAAUAGUCUCAAACAUUCGUCUUCCUACCACAAUAUUAUUUACAAUACCAUGUAAAAUUUUCAUUUUGUGAAUUCGUUUUCAGGUUCUUAAGCCCUAUCUCAGCUGUUCCACUGGUGGGUCUGGUACGAGUUUGGUUUCCCAGGGGUAAAGUCUACUCUAGAAGAUGCCACUCAAACACUAACUAUCAAACAAUAUAAACGAGAAUGUUAAUUUCUGUGUUACAUUCCAGGUUGCUAAGUGCGUAGAGAUUGGGCUGCCUGAGCUUCUUAUUCUAGUAUUUGUUUCACAGUAUCUGCCUCAUGUGAUCAAAUUAGGGGAAAAUGUGUUCGACCGGUUUGCUGCGAUAUUCGCUGUGGUGAUUGUAUGGAUCUAUGCUCACCUUUUUACAGUUGGUGGAGCAUACAAUGGUGCUGCACCAACUACGCAAACAAGCUGCCGGACUGAUCGUGCUGGCAUCGUAGGUGCUGCCCCAUGGGUUGUUUGGUACUGGUGCUGGCUCCUCUGUCUCGAUGUAAGCAUCUCUCAGAUGAUACUUGAUUCUUGCAGAGAAAUUGCUGGACUAUUAGCCGCCCUGACAAGAGUUGGUAGUAGAAGGGUUGUCCAGAUAGCUGCAGGCUUCAAAGAGUACACACUGCAAUCAAAGCCUAUGGUCCUGUCCAC
This is a long non-coding RNA of Brassica napus (rape), 1516 nucleotides long. RefSeq lists it as uncharacterized. The record is from RefSeq and is a predicted model, not a curated record. NCBI's taxonomy places the organism in Eukaryota, Viridiplantae, Streptophyta, Magnoliopsida, Brassicales, Brassicaceae. The transcript has 4 exons.